AGACUAAGCCAUGCAUGUGCAAGUAUAAACGCUUGAACCGUGAGACUGCGAAUGGCUCAUUAAAUCAGUUAUAGUUUAUUUGAUGGUGUUUACUACGUGGAUAACCGUGGUAAUUCUAGAGCUAAUACAUGCAAAAGGUCCCGACUUUUGGAAGGGACGUAUUUAUUAGAUCCAAAACCAAUGCGGGUGUCGCUGCCUCGGUGGUGCCCCGGUCUCUUGGUGAUUCAUAGUAACUUCUCGAAUCGCUUGGCCCCCGCGCCGGCGAUGGUUCAUUCAAGUUUCUGCCCUAUCAACUUUCGAUGGUAGGGUAUUGGCCUACCAUGGUUGCAACGGGUGACGGAGAAUUAGGGUUCGAUUCCGGAGAGGGAGCCUGAGAAACGGCUACCACAUCCAAGGAAGGCAGCAGGCGCGCAAAUUACCCAAUCCCGACUCGGGGAGGUAGUGACAAUAAAUAACAAUGCCGGUCCCUAUAGUGGUCCGGCAAUUGGAAUGAGUACAAUCCAAAUCCCUUAACGAGGAACAAUUGGAGGGCAAGUCUGGUGCCAGCAGCCGCGGUAAUUCCAGCUCCAAUAGCGUAUAUUAAAGUUGUUGCAGUUAAAAAGCUCGUAGUUGGAUUUCGGGGCCCCGGGCGUUCGUUGCGUUUCCUGCCGGCUUGUCUUGUGGGUGCGUGGCGGGCGUCGGUCUCUGAGUCGGAUCGGUCCGCCGAGAGGCGUGUACUGACCGACGGCCCCUGUUGUCUCUCGGGUUGCCCGCCUGCACUUAACUGUUGCGGACGGGGAGUUCGGGACGUUUACUUUGAACAAAUUAGAGUGUUCCAAGCAGGCCGAUUGCUUUGAAUACAUUAGCAUGGAAUAAUGGAAUAGGGCUGCGUGACUCUUCGUCUUCGGGCGGGGGGUCCUCGUGUCCUAUUUUGUUGGUUUUCGGGACCGCAGUCAUGGUCAAGAGGGACAGUUGGGGGCAUUCGUAUUCAGUUGUCAGAGGUGAAAUUCUUGGAUUUACGGAAGACGAACAACUGCGAAAGCAUUUGCCAAGGAUGUUUUCAUUAAUCAAGAACGAAAGUUGGGGGUCA
This 1069-nucleotide ribosomal RNA is filed under the name Pachychalina tenera. Its description in RNAcentral is "SSU rRNA". It matches the Rfam family "Eukaryotic small subunit ribosomal RNA", at positions 41 to 999 of the family's 1831-position model. Lineage: Eukaryota; Metazoa; Porifera; Demospongiae; Haplosclerida; Niphatidae. The record is from RNAcentral.